RNAcentral lists this ribosomal RNA (214 nucleotides) under uncultured Gardnerella sp. RNAcentral describes it as "partial 16S ribosomal RNA". It matches the Rfam family "Bacterial small subunit ribosomal RNA", at positions 141 to 354 of the family's 1533-position model. Lineage: Bacteria; Bacillati; Actinomycetota; Actinomycetes; Bifidobacteriales; Bifidobacteriaceae. The record is from RNAcentral.
GAAUAGCUCUUGGAAACGGGUGGUAAUGCUGGAUGCUCCAACUUGACGCAUGUCUUGUUGGGAAAGNGUUAGUGGCAUGGGAUGGGGGUCGCGUCCUAUCAGCUUGUAGGCGGGGUAAUGGCCCACCUAGGCUUCGACGGGUAGCCGGCCUGAGAGGGCGGACGGCCACAUUGGGACUGAGAUACGGCCCAGACUCCUACGGGAGGCAGCAGAG